CGUCUUGUCCAAGGCACCAGCCGCUCCCGCGGGAGGGGGAGGGCGAGAGGGAGAGUUGUCCGCCACCACAACCUGGAUGAACUGGUUUCAUCCUGAAGGUGGUUUAAGGCACGUUUGAGCUGCUGUGAAAGCAUAGGUGAAACUGGAGGAACACUUGGGCUUGCAGUGCCACAGCCCAUCCUGUUCUUGUUCUAUGAAUAGAGGUCUACACUAAUUCUGAAACGGAGAUUUUCCUUCAUGCAGAAUGUGCUACACAGGUCAAAACACUUACAUAAGCAUAUCGAAAAAGAAUAAAACAAGCAAAGCAUACAUUCUCAGGGGAAAGGCCUGAACUCUGGAAUUCACUUCCUCCACACUAGUCUAACAGAGCGGUUUCUGCUGACCUUCAGAGCACAUUGCGAAACCCCAUCUGUUUAUUUAAUCUUUGCUUGAUGGGACAGGUACUUUUGUUCAACCAUGAGGUUAAUCCUUCAGUGACAUUGAAUGUGAUCAGCUAUGUUUUGAUAGCUAACUUUUUUUUUAACCUGGGAGAGUUAAGAAUGGCAUUUUUAUUAACUAUAAAUAAAAAUACAUAUUAAAAGCAGAACAUGGAACCAAAUCAAAACAUAGAUACAAUAGAGAUUAAAGCAAAACCAGCCUGUUCCCUAUCUGUGUACGUGUUUUGUUUCCAUCAGUAAAGCAUACCUGAAAUGUC
Molecule: long non-coding RNA, 694 nt
Organism: Chelonoidis abingdonii (Abingdon island giant tortoise)
Lineage: Eukaryota; Metazoa; Chordata; Testudines; Testudinidae
Source: RefSeq, a predicted model, not a curated record